GACGAACGCUGGCGGCGUGCCUAAUACAUGCAAGUCGAACGCACUCUCGUUUAGAUUGAAGGAGUUUGCUCCUGAUUGAUAAACAUUUGAGUGAGUGGCGGACGGGUGAGUAACACGUGGGUAACCUGCCCUAAAGUGGGGGAUAACAUUUGGAAACAGAUGCUAAUACCGCAUAAAACCUAACACCGCAUGGUGUAGGGUUGAAAGAUGGUUUCGGCUAUCACUUUAGGAUGGACCCGCGGUGCAUUAGUUAGUUGGUGAGGUAAAGGCUCACCAAGACCGUGAUGCAUAGCCGACCUGAGAGGGUAAUCGGCCACACUGGGACUGAGACACGGCCCAGACUCCUACGGGAGGCAGCAGUAGGGAAUCUUCCACAAAGGGCGAAAGUCUGAUGGAGCAACGCCGCGUGAGUGAAGAAGGUUUUCGGAUCGUAAAACUCUGUUGUUGGAGAAGAAUGUAUCUGAUAGUAACUGAUCAGGUAGUGACGGUAUCCAACCAGAAAGCCACGGCUAACUACGUG
RNAcentral lists this ribosomal RNA (520 nucleotides) under uncultured bacterium. Its description in RNAcentral is "partial 16S ribosomal RNA". It matches the Rfam family "Bacterial small subunit ribosomal RNA", at positions 28 to 507 of the family's 1533-position model. The record is from RNAcentral.